GGUUGUAGCCCAGUGGGAGAGCACUUGCCUAGCAUGAGUGAGGCACUGGGUUCAAUCCUCAGCACCA
Molecule: transfer RNA, 67 nt
Filed under: Marmota monax (woodchuck)
Lineage: Eukaryota; Metazoa; Chordata; Mammalia; Rodentia; Sciuridae
Description: tRNA.Ala
Source: RNAcentral